RNAcentral lists this ribosomal RNA (468 nucleotides) under uncultured bacterium. Its description in RNAcentral is "partial 16S ribosomal RNA". It matches the Rfam family "Bacterial small subunit ribosomal RNA", at positions 28 to 507 of the family's 1533-position model. The record is from RNAcentral.
GACGAACGCUGGCGGCGUGCUUAACACAUGCAAGUCGAACGGAAAGGCCCUGCUUUUGUGGGGUGCUCGAGUGGCGAACGGGUGAGUAACACGUGAGUAACCUGCCCUUGACUUUGGGAUAACUUCAGGAAACUGGGGCUAAUCCCGGAUAGGAGCUCCUGCUGCAUGGUGGGGGUUGGAAAGUUUCGGCGGUUGGGGAUGGACUGGCGGCUUAUCGGUUUGUUGGUGGGGUAGUGGCUUACCAAGGCUUUGACGGGUACCCGGCCUGAGAGGGGGGCCGGCCACAUGGGGACUGAGAUACGGCCCAGACGCCUACGGGGGGCAGCAGUGGGGAAUAUGGCACAGUGGGCGGAAGCCUGAUGCAGCAACGCCGCGUGCGGGAAGACGGCCUUCGGGUUGUAAACCGCUUUCGCCUGUGACGAAGCGGGAGUGACGGUAAUGGGUAAAGAAGCACCGGCUAACUACGUG